Molecule: ribosomal RNA, 301 nt
Filed under: uncultured bacterium
Lineage: Bacteria
Description: partial 16S ribosomal RNA
Rfam family: Bacterial small subunit ribosomal RNA
Source: RNAcentral
CAGCAGCCGCGGGAAUACGUAGGUCCCGAGCGUUGUCCGGAUUUAUUGGGCGUAAAGGGAGCGCAGGCGGUUUAGUAAGUCUGGAGUUAAAGGCAUUGGCUCAACCAAUGUAUGCUUUGGAAACUGUUUGACUUGAGUGCAGAAGGGGAGAGUGGAAUUCCAUGUGUAGCGGAGAAAUGCGUAGAUAUAUGGAGGAACACCGGUGGCGAAAGCGGCUCUCUGGUCUGUCACUGACGCUGAGGCUCGAAAGCGUGGGUAGCGAACAGGAUUAGAUACCCGUGUAGUCCCUGUCUCUUAUACA